GUGACUAUUCUGUUGGGGCAAAAAUGAUUAUCUGCUUGUGGCUUCGUCUAGGCUUUCCACAUAAUCGCCUUCUUUUACCUCUGUUGGCCUUCUACUGCCAUUGUUUCAACCGCAAUGCCGAGUGUGAACCAAAUUCUCUUUUGAUGGUGACAACUACCCAAACUCGCUGAUUCUAUUUACACACGGUGGAAGCUCCAUCGAUCCCCCCAAAAAAGGGCUCACAGUCAGCCCUUCUUAUCACUUAUCCUGUCAUGCAUCCACAACUUUGCUCGCCACAGGUUUGGGUGCAUAUUUAUUUUGGAUUUGUCAUAAUUCCAAAUUUGCAAUUCCAGAAUGAGAUUUGCGAUUUUAUUGGAACAUAAAUUUCUAUUUGGUCGCGCAGUAGUUGAAUUCAAUUUGAGAUAUGAUGUAUGAUUGUGUUAGUUACUUAAGUUAUACCGUGCAUGUGUACUGUAUCGCUCUGUUUAGAGAUUAAAGCUGGUGGUACAAUUUGUUUGAGGGGAUUGACAAAAUCU
This is a long non-coding RNA of Rhododendron vialii, 515 nucleotides long. RefSeq lists it as uncharacterized. Lineage: Eukaryota; Viridiplantae; Streptophyta; Magnoliopsida; Ericales; Ericaceae. The transcript is spliced from 3 exons. The record is from RefSeq and is a predicted model, not a curated record.